RNAcentral lists this ribosomal RNA (437 nucleotides) under uncultured Oscillospiraceae bacterium. RNAcentral's name for it is "partial 16S ribosomal RNA". It matches the Rfam family "Bacterial small subunit ribosomal RNA", at positions 341 to 792 of the family's 1533-position model. Lineage: Bacteria; Bacillati; Bacillota; Clostridia; Eubacteriales; Oscillospiraceae. The record is from RNAcentral.
ACGGGAGGCAGCAGUGGGGAAUAUUGGGCAAUGGGGGAAACCCUGACCCAGCAACGCCGCGUGAAGGAAGAAGGCUUUCGGGUUGUAAACUUCUUUUACCAGGGACGAAGGACGUGACGGUACCUGGAGAACAAGCCACGGAUAACUACGUGCCAGCAGCCGCGGUAAUACGUAGGUGGCAAGCGUUGUCCGGAUUUACCGGGUGUAAAGGGCGUGUAGGCGGAGAUGCAAGUCAGAAGUGAAAUCUCUGGGCUUAACCCAGAAACUGCGUUUGAAACUGUAUCCCUUGAGUAUCGGAGAGGCAGGCGGAAUGCCUAGUGUAGCGGUGAAAUGCGUAGAUAUUAGGAGGAACACCAGUGGCGAAGGCGGCCUGCUGGACGACAACUGUCGCUGAGGCGCGAUAGCGUGGGGAGCAAACAGGAUUAGAUACCCUGGUA